Long non-coding RNA from Setaria italica (foxtail millet), 694 nucleotides. RefSeq lists it as uncharacterized. The transcript has 2 exons. The record is from RefSeq and is a predicted model, not a curated record. NCBI's taxonomy places the organism in Eukaryota, Viridiplantae, Streptophyta, Magnoliopsida, Poales, Poaceae.
UUUAGGGGUCUCAAUCCGCACUCUGGCACCCGUGAGACGAACGAAUUUUUCGGAUGGCACGCCGUUUCCGCUUCUGGUCAUUUCAUCACCCCGUUAAUCUUUCCUUUCGAAUUGCACGUCAUUUCUUCAUUUUCUCUCCCCGUUUUUCUCCUUUUUAUUUAUGUCUCACAAAAUAUCCAGUUCAGUCCCCAAUCAGCACAGGCAUGUUCGAGUUUCUCGCCGGUCAAUGGCGCUUGCGCUUUCGUGUUCCCCUCCGGCCGCGACAUUUGUGUACCCCACCGGCCGUGGGCGCCGCUCCUCUCCCCGUCUCUGUCCAAUGAGAGUUCGUUCUUGCGAUUUGGGGUUAGUCCGGCUAUGGAAUCCGGCGAGGACGGCGACUGUAGCGGCGGGCAGUGACGCUUGAUUUGUAUCUAGGUACAUCAGAUGUCGAUUUCACUUCACGACGUAUUCGAUCUGUCCGGGGCGGCCAGGGAACCUUGGAGCAAGGAGGCAAUGGCUAUGCGCCCACACACUUCUGCUGCUAUCUUUCUGCCCAGUUUGUAGUCGCCGCGUCCUUCUCGUGCUCUUGGAUGUGUUGUUUCCUGCAGGAGCCUCUUGCUUGGUGCAUUGCGUUUAUGUUGCACGAAUUUUUGUGUCUGCUUAAUAAUAUAAGUACUACUUCACAGUUGUUAUGUAGCCUAGCUCUCUUGAUCUA